GUCGAACUCUCGAAACUUUUGGAAUCAGAUGCUCUGAGGAAAUCUCUCAUAAAAGAUCCUUUUGAAUCCUUUUCAGGUGAAAGGUGCAUCAUUUGACCCUAAUUUUUCGAUCUCUACCUCCCACCAAUCAACUGCCUCACCUUGUAACAUGAAGAUGGCAAAGGUGACUUUCUCUUUCGUAGAACAUCGCAGGACAUGGAACAUCUUCUCUAUUGCUGUUAACCAACUUUCAACUUCCAUGG
This 242-nucleotide long non-coding RNA is filed under the name Elaeis guineensis (African oil palm). Its description in RNAcentral is "long non-coding RNA (EGUI_LNC040429)". The record is from RNAcentral. Lineage: Eukaryota; Viridiplantae; Streptophyta; Magnoliopsida; Arecales; Arecaceae.